This 206-nucleotide ribosomal RNA is filed under the name uncultured bacterium. RNAcentral describes it as "partial 16S ribosomal RNA". It matches the Rfam family "Bacterial small subunit ribosomal RNA", at positions 1296 to 1500 of the family's 1533-position model. The record is from RNAcentral.
GAUUGUAGUCUGCAACUCGACUACAUGAAGCCGGAAUCGCUAGUAAUCGCGGAUCAGAAUGCCGCGGUGAAUACGUUCCCGGGUCUUGUACACACCGCCCGUCACACCAUGGGAGCCGGAAAUGCCCGAAGUCAGUGACCCAACCAAUAAGGAGGGAGCUGCCGAAGGCAGGUCUGGUGACUGGGGUGAAGUCGUAACAAGGUACC